GUCUACAGCCAUGCUACCCUGAACAAGCCCAAUCCUGUCUGAUCUCAGAAGCUAAGCAGGGUCGGGCCUGGUUAGUACUUGGAUGGGAGACCACCUAGGAAGACCAGGUGCCGUAAGCG
RNAcentral lists this ribosomal RNA (119 nucleotides) under Pteropus alecto (black flying fox). Lineage: Eukaryota; Metazoa; Chordata; Mammalia; Chiroptera; Pteropodidae. The record is from RNAcentral.